This 328-nucleotide unclassified non-coding RNA is filed under the name soil metagenome. Its description in RNAcentral is "partial contains 5.8S ribosomal RNA, internal transcribed spacer 2, and large subunit ribosomal RNA". The stretch from base 1 to 119 matches the Rfam family "5.8S ribosomal RNA", at positions 35 to 154 of the family's 154-position model. The record is from RNAcentral.
GAUGAAGAACGUAGCGAAAUGCGAUACGUAAUGUGAAUUGCAAAUUCAGUGAAUCAUCGAGUCUUUGAACGCACAUUGCGCCCCCUGGUAUUCCGGGGGGCAUGCCUGUCCGAGCGUCAUUACAACCCUCAAGCUCAGCUUGGUGUUGGGCCCCGCCGCCCCGGCGGGCCCUAAAGUCAGUGGCGGUGCCGUCCGGCUCCGAGCGUAGUAAUUCUUCUCGCUCUGGAGGUCCGGUCGUGUGCUUGCCAGCAACCCCCAAUUUUUUUCAGGUUGACCUCGGAUCAGGUAGGGAUACCCGCUGAACUUAAGCAUAUCAAUAAGCGGAGGA